GGGCAUUCGCAACAAAAAUAGCAUUUUAAAGCGGCAUUAUGUAGAAAAAUAAUGUUUUAAGGGUAACGUGCAACAAAAAUAACAUUUAAAGGAAAACGUGGGAAAUAAAUACUCAAUUAUGUUUAAUAAUCCAUCGGAAUUUUGAUAUAAGUGUAAUUAUGUGCAACAAGUAAAAAGUUUUGAAAAUGGACAUUAAUUUUUUUCAAUUUUGAAAUUUCUAGGAGGUAACAUGCAAUUCGCCCAGUAGUAAUAUAAUAAAAAGACACACCAAGAACAUCGCUCCUUCGAGCCUACACCCGGUGAUAAACACCGGGUGAGUCUUUUACUGUCACGUGUCCUUUUUUUUUAUUUUUCUAUAAAACCCCUAAAGAUAAACCUAAGCAGGAGAAUAUAUUAUAAAAUACAAAAAAAAAAACAACGUGACAGUAGAAGACCUAUUCAAUGUUUAUCACUGGGUAUAGAAUCGACGAAGUUCAAAAAACACUAUAUAUACACAUCCAAUCGUUGGCAUUACUUAUUCAACAAACAAUAUGGAGGCUAUUCAAAUAUUGCUUCUUAUAACAUCUUUGUUCUUGUUGUGGUCUAUCACCAAAUGGUUCACCAAACCCUCCCGAAACCGGAAAAACUUCCCUCCCUCGCCGCCAACGCUGCCGAUAAUCGGAAAACUUCACCAGCUCGGCCACUGCCCCACAGGAACCUCCGUCUUCUCGCCGGAAAAUACGGUCCCCUCAUGCUCCUCCACUUCGGCAGCGUCCCCGUCGUCGUCGCCUCGUCAGCAGAGGCGGCCCGCGAGAUCAUGAAAACACACGACCUCAACUUCGGGAGCCGGCCCGUCUACAAGGCCUACAAGAAACUCCUCUACGACUGCAAGAACGUGGCGGUGGCGCCGUACGGCGAGAGCUGGCGGAAGGCCAAGGGCAUUUUCGUCCUCCAGCUACUGAGCAACAAGAGGGUCCAAUCCUACCGUUGGAUCAGGGAAGAAGAGACGGCCCUCCUCGUUGAAAAAAUCGAAGAGUGUUGUUGUUCUUCUUCUUCCGACGGCGGCAGCGCGGCGGCGCCGGUGAAUCUUACGAGGCUGUUCUCGGAGCUGAGCGUGGCCGGGAUCUGCCGGUCUGCUUUCGGAGAGUCGGAGAAUGGGAAGAAAUUCGUGGAGUCGAUGACGGAGUUGAUGGAGCAGUUGGGAACUAUUAAUGUCGGUGAUUUUAUCCCGUGGCUGAGUUGGAUCAGCCGAGUUAACGGGUUUGAUAAGAGAGUGGAACGAGUUGCGAAAGAUAUGGAUUAUUUUCUGGAAGGUGUUAUUCAAGAACACUUGGAAAAUCCAGAAAAGGCGGGAAAUAAUAGUGAGAGCUUUGUUCAUAUUCUACUCAGGAAUUAUAGCAGUGAUGCCUCAUCAAUUGACAGGGAGCGCAUCAAAGCAUUAGUUCAGGAUGUUGUCGUAGGUGGAACCGAUACCACAUCCUCGGUUCUCGAAUGGGUGAUGACGGAGCUACUACGACACCCUAACGUGAUGGAGAAACUGCAAAACGAAGUGAGAGAAAUUGUCGGAGGCAAAAGCAUCGUAACAGAUGAUGACUUGGCAAAAAUGGAUUACAUGAAAGCCGUGAUCAAGGAAACUUUCCGUUAUCACAUACCGGUUCCGAUGCUAUUACCGAGGGUAGCGGAUAAAGACGUGAAAAUAAUGGGGUACGAUAUUUCCGCAGGAACGAUGGUGAUGGCUAACGCGUGGGCCAUAGGGCGGGACCCUGAUCUUUGGGAUGAACCGGAGAAGUUUGAUCCGGAGAGAUUCUUGAAUAACACAAAGAACGAGAAUAUUGAUUUUAGGGGCCUCGAUUUUGAGCUUAUUCCUUUUGGUGCCGGGAGAAGGAGAUGCCCCGGGAUUUCGUUUGCUGCGGCUACCAUUGAGUUUGUGUUGGCGAAUCUUAUGCUGAAGUUUAAUUGGGAAACGCAGGGGAAAGAUUUGGACAAUACUGAAAGCUCGGGGCUUACGGCGCAUAGAGCUACUCCUCUUUUCGCAGUUGCCACUCGGAGUAUAUGACGUGGCACAUUCUUAUUGGAUGAAUUUAUGUUAUUGUACUUGGUUCGGUUCUUUGUUUGGAUAAGUUGUGUCAUAUUAAUGUUUGUUUUGUGAAUUUACUGUUUGUGUUCAAUAAAUGUGAAAUAAAUUGUUGUUUGUGUACUUCAAGACUUAUUUUUCCAGUUUA
This is a non-coding RNA of Erythranthe guttata (spotted monkey flower), 2201 nucleotides long. The record is from RefSeq and is a predicted model, not a curated record. NCBI's taxonomy places the organism in Eukaryota, Viridiplantae, Streptophyta, Magnoliopsida, Lamiales, Phrymaceae.